AGAGCGAACGCUGGCGGCAGGCCUAACACAUGCAAGUCGAACGGACCCUUCGGGGUUAGUGGCGGACGGGUGAGUAACACGUGGGAACGUGCCUUUUGGUUCGGAAUAGCUCCUGGAAACGGGUGGUAAUGCCGAAUGUGCCCUUCGGGGGAAAGAUUUAUCGCCAUUAGAGCGGCCCGCGUCUGAUUAGCUAGUUGGUGAGGUAAAGGCUCACCAAGGCUACGAUCAGUAGCUGGUCUGAGAGGAUGACCAGCCACAUUGGGACUGAGACACGGCCCAAACUCCUACGGGAGGCAGCAGGUGGGGAAUCUUGCGCAAUGGGACAAAGCCUGACGCAGCCAUCGCCGCGUGAAUGAUGAAGGUCUUAAGGAUUAGUAAAAUUCGUUCGACCGGGUACAUAAUGGAACGGUACCGGAGAAGACGCCCGGAUAACGUCGUGCCAGCCAGGCCGAC
RNAcentral lists this ribosomal RNA (453 nucleotides) under uncultured soil bacterium. RNAcentral's name for it is "bacterial SSU rRNA". It matches the Rfam family "Bacterial small subunit ribosomal RNA", at positions 26 to 529 of the family's 1533-position model. The record is from RNAcentral.